Long non-coding RNA from Onychostoma macrolepis, 379 nucleotides. RefSeq lists it as uncharacterized. The record is from RefSeq and is a predicted model, not a curated record. Lineage: Eukaryota; Metazoa; Chordata; Actinopteri; Cypriniformes; Cyprinidae. The transcript has 3 exons.
CGGGGUGGGGCUCUGCCUUUCAUACUGACGCAACUUCUCAUGGAUCUAGCAAAUACAUACACAAUGCGCAUACAGAGCUGAAGAUGACUGGUCUCUUACACAUUUCCAGCAUACAUGUAAAAAUAAGCUAAGGUAGCUGAGACUCUUCUCACUGAAGACAUCCUUGAGGAAGACCAUGUCCUCUUUGUGAUUGGCAUCUGGACGCAGCUGUGAGGUCAGCAGGGCAAGUGUCUCAUGCAACCCUGCAUGCAAACAGGAGAUCAACAGACAUGGGCACACUUACGUUUCCCAGACUGAGGUCGUGCACCACCAGGUUCUGAUGGUUGCCCAGCGAGACCUCCAGCAACUCUCCUCCACUUCGUACUCCAGUUCCAGCUCC